Arabidopsis lyrata subsp. lyrata is the source of this 520-nucleotide long non-coding RNA. RefSeq lists it as uncharacterized. The record is from RefSeq and is a predicted model, not a curated record. The transcript is spliced from 3 exons. Lineage: Eukaryota; Viridiplantae; Streptophyta; Magnoliopsida; Brassicales; Brassicaceae.
CAAAACAGAUAUAUGGAUUUCCAAAUCCUUUAGGGCUUUUAUUUCUCAGUCAAUUCUCAUGAAUCUCCAAGUAAAAAGGAGCCACAAGGCAUAUGGAUUAUGGUUAGAUAUGGCGCACAAUGGGUAGGUGGUUCCAGCGAAAUCAUUAAAGGUUGACAUGGUGAAGACAAAGAUCUUUCAAUGUGGAGGUUCAACAAAGCAACAAUCAAUAAGAAGGUGCAGAUAAAUUAUUCUACCAUGAUAUAAUGUGAUCGCUCUUCAAAGAGAAAUAUUGUAAUAUUAUCAUUCUAUGCUUGGAUCGUGACAAAGAUGAAACUUGAAGAUUAAGAACAACGAAUACUUAUCUUUGAAGAGAGGAAGAAGAGUUUCUUUCAGUUAAUAAUAGUUACUACUUCUCUCUUCAAGCUUCAAGAAGAGUUUCUACAACCGAGGGAGAGAUAAUCGAGUGAUAAUUAAGAAUAAGUUACGUGAUGAGGAGAAAAUGUUGAGUUAAUGAAAUAUGUGCAAAAGCAAGUUAUCA